AUGUCUAGAUUUCAUCUAUCAUGCAUGUCACCGACCACAACAUCCCAACUGAGCUCAUCGACCAGCUGCGCAACGCCGGCACUACCAAGAACAAGGAGGUGUAUGCUAAACAAUUCAUCACAUCUCCUGUUGUUGAACUGCCUAUUAUGCAAAUUAUUGGCAUGUUUUCUUGUGGGUUUGUUUUGCCUCAAUGGUACUAUUCUUCUGGAAGAUUUUGUUUCAAGUUUGCAGUUCGAUUUACAAACAUGA
RNAcentral lists this ribosomal RNA (249 nucleotides) under Triticum aestivum (bread wheat). Its description in RNAcentral is "partial small subunit ribosomal RNA". Lineage: Eukaryota; Viridiplantae; Streptophyta; Magnoliopsida; Poales; Poaceae. The record is from RNAcentral.